UGCCAGCCGCCGCGGUAAUACGAAGGGUGCUAGCGUUGUUCGGAAUUACUGGGCGUAAAGAGCAUGUAGGCGGCUCGCUCAGUCGGGUGUGAAAGCCCACGGCCCAACCGUGGAACUGCAUCCGAUACUGGCGAGCUCGAGGACGGAAGGGGUGAGUGGAACUCCAGGUGGAACGGUGAAAUGCAUAGAUAUCUGGAGGAACACCGGUGGCGAAAGCGGCUCACUGGUCCGUCUCUGACGCUGAGAUGCGAAAGCUAGGGUAGCGAACGGGAUUAGAUA
Molecule: ribosomal RNA, 279 nt
Filed under: uncultured bacterium
Lineage: Bacteria
Description: partial 16S ribosomal RNA
Rfam family: Bacterial small subunit ribosomal RNA
Source: RNAcentral